This 508-nucleotide ribosomal RNA is filed under the name uncultured bacterium. Its description in RNAcentral is "partial 16S ribosomal RNA". It matches the Rfam family "Bacterial small subunit ribosomal RNA", at positions 30 to 523 of the family's 1533-position model. The record is from RNAcentral.
AUUGAACGCUGGCGGCAGGCCUAACACAUGCAAGUCGAGCGGCAGCGGGAAUGUAGCUUGCUACUUUUGCCGGCGAGCGGCGGACGGGUGAGUAAUGCCUGGGAAAUUGCCCAGUCGAGGGGGAUAACAGUUGGAAACGACUGCUAAUACCGCAUACGCCCUACGGGGGAAAGCAGGGGACCUUCGGGCCUUGCGCGAUUGGAUAUGCCCAGGUGGGAUUAGCUAGUUGGUGAGGUAAUGGCUCACCAAGGCGACGAUCCCUAGCUGGUCUGAGAGGAUGAUCAGCCACACUGGAACUGAGACACGGUCCAGACUCCUACGGGAGGGAGCAGUGGGGAAUAUUGCACAAUGGGGGAAACCCUGAUGCAGCCAUGCCGCGUGUGUGAAGAAGGCCUUCGGGUUGUAAAGCACUUUCAGCGAGGAGGAAAAGUUGAUGCCUAAUACGUAUCAACUGUGACGUUACUCGCAGAAGAAGCACCGGCUAACUCCGUGCCAGCAGCCGCGGUAA